AUUCCAGCUCCAAUAGCGUAUAUUAAAGUUGUUGCAGUUAAAAAGCUCGUAGUUGAACCUUGGACAAAGUGCGCGUGGUCUACCGCAAGGUACGACUGCGGCGCUGCGUCUCUUUAGGGGGACUCGAUGCUUCGGUGUCGAGGUAACCCGUGUUACUGUGAAGAAAUUAGAGUGUUCAAAGCAGGCCUAUGCUCUGAAUAGGUUAGCAUGGAAUAAUAGAAUAGGACUUUGGUUCUAUUUUGUUGGUUUCUAGGACCGAAGUAAUGAUUAAUAGGGACAGUUGGGGCAUUCAUAUUCCAUUGUCAGAGGUGAAAUUCUUGGAUUAACGGAAGAUGAACUUCUGCGAAAGCAUCUGCCAAGGAUGUUUUCAUCA
RNAcentral lists this ribosomal RNA (373 nucleotides) under Picozoa sp. RNAcentral describes it as "partial small subunit ribosomal RNA". It matches the Rfam family "Eukaryotic small subunit ribosomal RNA", at positions 582 to 975 of the family's 1831-position model. The record is from RNAcentral. Lineage: Eukaryota; Picozoa.